Molecule: ribosomal RNA, 583 nt
Filed under: Ameletoides lacusalbinae
Lineage: Eukaryota; Metazoa; Arthropoda; Insecta; Ephemeroptera; Nesameletidae
Description: SSU rRNA
Rfam family: Eukaryotic small subunit ribosomal RNA
Source: RNAcentral
AGCCGCGGUAAUUCCAGCUCCAUUGGCGUAUAUUAAAGUUGUUGCGGUUAAAAAGCUCGUAGUUGGAUCUGUGUAUCGGACGGUCGGUUCGCCGCUCGCGGUGUUCAACUGACCGGUCCGGACGUCCUGCCGGUGGGUACCGGUUCGCGCCGGGUCCCGUAACUCCCUCCGCGCUGCUCUUAACCGAGUGGUUCGGUGGGCCGGCACGUUUACUUUGAACAAAUUUGAGUGCUCAAAGCAGGCCUUAUGUUGCCUGAAAACUGUGUGCAUGGAAUAAUGGAAUAGGGCCUCGGUUCUAUUUUGUUGGUUUUCUGAACUUGAGGUAAUGAUUAAUAGGGACAGACGGGGGCAUUCGUAUUGCGACGUUAGAGGUGAAAUUCUUGGAUCGUCGCAAGACGGACCGAUGCGAAAGCGUUUGCCAAGAAUGUUUUCGCUAAUCAAGAACGAAAGUUAGAGGUUCGAAGGCGAUCAGAUACCGCCCUAGUUCUAACCAUAAACGAUGCCAGCCAGCGAUGCGCCGAAGUUCCUCCGAUGACUCGGCGCGCAGCUUCCGGGAAACCAAAGCUUUUGGGUUCCGGGGGAA